AGCCAGACUCCUACGGGAGGCAGCAGUGGGGAAUAUUGGGCAAUGGGGGAAACCCUGACCCAGCGACGCCGCGUGAGGGAAGAAGGUUUUCGGAUUGUAAACCUCUGUCCUUGGUGACGAUAAUGACGGUAGCCAAGGAGGAAGCCACGGCUAACUACGUGCCAGCAGCCGCGGUAAUACGUAGGGGGCAAGCGUUAUCCGGAUUUACUGGGUGUAAAGGGAGCGUAGACGGCAUAGCAAGUCUGAAGUGAAAGCCCGUGGCUCAACCGCGGAACUGCUUUGGAAACUGUUAAGCUGGAGUACUGGAGAGGCAAGCGGAAUUCCUAGUGUAGCGGUGAAAUGCGUAGAUAUUAGGAGGAACACCAGUGGCGAAGGCGGCUUGCUGGACAGAGACUGACGUUGAGGCUCGAAAGCGUGGGGAGCAAACAGGAUUAGAUACCCCCGUAC
Molecule: ribosomal RNA, 447 nt
Filed under: uncultured bacterium
Lineage: Bacteria
Description: partial 16S ribosomal RNA
Rfam family: Bacterial small subunit ribosomal RNA
Source: RNAcentral